UACGUAGGUGACUAGCGUUGUCCGGAUUUACUGGGCGUAAAGAGCGCGCAGGCGGUCGUUCAAGUCGAGUGUGAAAGCCCCCGGCUCAACUGGGGAGGGUCACUCGAUACUGAUCGACUUGAAGGCAGGAGAGGGAAGCGGAAUUCCCGGUGUAGUGGUGAAAUGCGUAGAUAUCGGGAGGAACACCAGUGGCGAAGGCGGCUUCCUGGCCUGUUCUUGACGCUGAGGCGCGAAAGCUAGGGGAGCAAACGGG
RNAcentral lists this ribosomal RNA (253 nucleotides) under uncultured bacterium. Its description in RNAcentral is "partial 16S ribosomal RNA". It matches the Rfam family "Bacterial small subunit ribosomal RNA", at positions 524 to 776 of the family's 1533-position model. The record is from RNAcentral.